GUCUGGGUGUGAGAGAAUCAGUGACACGAUGUGAUCAGCUUCCCAAGACAUCUGUUUUUUUUCUAUUUUUGGGGAAAGAACAUUAGACAGAAGCAUCCUAACCAAAUUCAUCUAUAAAUAGAGGCAUUGCAAGAUUGACUAUCACAAAAAAGAGAGAGUUAGUUUGAGAUUGAGGUAAUCUCGAUCAAGAUUUAAAGAAGAAUGACAAUGAUGAUGAUGCUAACUGGACAAAGCUUUUUAGAUGUGAUGGUAGCUGGGAUUUCUUUAAUGAUUGGUUUAGGAAUCUUUGGAUUCAUUGCUUCUGUUCUUUGUUCUGCUGCUUUUGUGUACCAUGCCAAGGAAGUAUCUUGAAAAAUCACAACAAGAGAGAAAAGAUGUAAAACAGUAUGUAAUGAAACAAGCAGCUGGAUAAAAACAACAACUAGUAGUAGCAUUAGUAGUAGAUCACCACGAGGAUUAAAUAAAUGGUUUUUUGUUUAGUAGGAAAAUAUUCUUCAAAUGGUUUAACCCAGAGACACUCUAUGGCAAUUAGCUCAUCAGCUAUCAAAGGCAAGAAAUGACCGAAAGAGAGAAAUAGUUAAAUUGUAAUGCAUAUGUAUCCUUUCUUGUAUUGCAACAAUGUUAUACUAUGUAUUGGCAAAGAGUUAAUAUGAACUGCAUGGAGUUUACUUUAUAUUA
Long non-coding RNA from Papaver somniferum (opium poppy), 678 nucleotides. RefSeq lists it as uncharacterized. Lineage: Eukaryota; Viridiplantae; Streptophyta; Magnoliopsida; Ranunculales; Papaveraceae. The record is from RefSeq and is a predicted model, not a curated record. The transcript has 2 exons.